GUCUGGAUAGCUCAGUGGUCUAGAGCAGUUACCCGGAUAGUGAAAAACUCGGGUUCGAUUUCCGAUCCAACCA
RNAcentral lists this transfer RNA (73 nucleotides) under Camponotus floridanus (Florida carpenter ant). It matches the Rfam family "tRNA". From Rfam's summary of the family: Transfer RNA (tRNA) molecules are approximately 80 nucleotides in length. Their secondary structure includes four short double-helical elements and three loops (D, anti-codon, and T loops). The record is from Rfam by way of RNAcentral. Lineage: Eukaryota; Metazoa; Arthropoda; Insecta; Hymenoptera; Formicidae.